RNAcentral lists this long non-coding RNA (494 nucleotides) under Cricetulus griseus (Chinese hamster). Its description in RNAcentral is "lncRNA (ENSCGRG00015033931.1)". The record is from RNAcentral. Lineage: Eukaryota; Metazoa; Chordata; Mammalia; Rodentia; Cricetidae.
CCACCGAUGCCUCUCCUGGCAGUUUCUCUCUCUCUCUCUCUCUCUCUCUCUCUCUCUCUCUCUCUCUCUCACUCUCUCUCUCUCUCUCUCGUUCUGGGACUUAAAGGCAUGUGCUACCAUCGCCCGGCUUUAUUCUUUUAAAAUAUAUUUAUUUUAUGUGUAUGUGUGUGUGUGUGUGUGCCUACAUAUAUGUAUGUACACCACAUGUAUCAGGAGCUCAUGGAGGCCAGAAGACGGUGUCAGAUCCCCUGGAACUGGAGUUACAAGUUGUUGUGAGCCUACAUGUAGGUGCUGGGAAUUGAACCUGGGUCCUCUGCAAUAGUGAGGCUAAAGUUGGUGAGAGCACCAAGUUUCUGAGGGAAUCCCAAGAAGUCAAAAUGAGUAUCAAAGCUGUUUGGUUGUCAACUGGACUACAUCUGGAAUGAACUAAACCCAAGCACUGGGCACACCUGUGAGGGAUUUAUUUUUUUCUUAAUUAAACCAUUUGAAGUAGG